GAUGAACGCUGGCGGCAUGCCUAAUACAUGCAAGUCGAGCGAACGGACGAGAAGCUUGCUUCUCUGAUGUUAGCGGCGGACGGGUGAGUAACACGUGGAUAACCUACCUAUAAGACUGGGAUAACUUCGGGAAACCGGAGCUAAUACCGGAUAAUAUUUUGAACCGCAUGGUUCAAAAGUGAAAGACGGUCUUGCUGUCACUUAUAGAUGGAUCCGCGCUGCAUUAGCUAGUUGGUAAGGUAACGGCUUACCAAGGCAACGAUGCAUAGCCGACCUGAGAGGGUGAUCGGCCACACUGGAACUGAGACACGGUCCAGACUCCUACGGGAGGCAGCAGUAGGGAAUCUUCCGCAAUGGGCGAAAGCCUGACGGAGCAACGCCGCGUGAGUGAUGAAGGUCUUCGGAUCGUAAAACUCUGUUAUUAGGGAAGAACAUAUGUGUAAGUAGCUGUGCACAUCUUGACGGUACCUAAUCAGAAAGCCACGGCUAACUACGUG
RNAcentral lists this ribosomal RNA (497 nucleotides) under uncultured bacterium. RNAcentral's name for it is "partial 16S ribosomal RNA". It matches the Rfam family "Bacterial small subunit ribosomal RNA", at positions 28 to 507 of the family's 1533-position model. The record is from RNAcentral.